CCAUUAACCCACUGACAUUUAAUUUCAGCUCAAAGGUAAAGUGCAGUUUUUACUGAGAGAAAAUUAGAGAAGAUGAAGUUCACAGACUCGCCAGUGAUCGAUCUUCAAGUGCUAAAUUCUCAGCUAUCUUUCCACCAAGACAAUGGAUCCAUGCACGUAGGUACCAGCGUAUGGCCCUGUUCACUUGUCCUCGUCAAAUUCGCCGAACGUUGGCAUCCUCAAACAUGCGCCGUUACUCCGAAUCCCUAUUCCGACAUCCUUAACUUCCAAAACAAACGCGGAAUCGAACUCGGCGCCGGUUGUGGAGUAGCCGCCAUGGGCCUCUUCUUGCUGGGACUGAACAACGUCGUUAUCACUGAUAUCGCUCCUGUUAUGCCGGCCCUAAAACACAACCUUAAGAAAAACAAGCCCGUUUUGAAUAAAUCUUUGAAAACGGCUCAGUUGAAUUGGUCCAAUCAAGACCAGAUAAAAUCUCUUAACCCACCGCUUGAUGUCGUUGUUGCUACCGAUGUGGUGUACUUGGAGGAGACGGUGGGUCCAUUGCUCUCGACUAUGGAAGCUUUGCUGGGAGAGAACGGCGUCGUUUUGUUGGGUUACCAGCUGAGAUCUCCUGAAGCGCAUAAGAAGUUCUGGGAGCUUAGCGGAGACAUGUUUGAUAUCGAGAAGGUUCCACACGAGCAUUUACAUCCGGAGUACGCGUACGAGGAGACCGACGUUUAUAUUUUCAGAAAGAAGAAGAAACAAUAGGACUCUUCGUCGAAUUUGCGUUGUCUUGACAGGAAAAUUUUCCUCAAAUUGGAGGAUUAAUGUUGAAAUUAUUGAGUAUUGGGAUGCAGUGUUCCAAAUGGAGUGAAUGAUAAUGAAGGUUCAUAUAGCUGACCCCGGCUAGUUUGGUAUUUGUUGUUGUUGAGGAAAUAAAAAGAGUUGGGGUUUACGAAAAAUUCUACUUUAUAGUAGAUGUUCAUACUUGUAGCGGUAAGAGAUAUUGGCCUCAAAUCAGAAUGGAGACUAGCGUUGUCAACUGCAGAACUCCAAGCAGGUUCAACUCAGCCAUCUGCUGGCUUCACAAUGGCAAACUGUUUGCAUGCAUGAAUAUAAUUAUAGAUGAAACCUAUGUACUCUGUGAGAUGGCUGUUCUGCUGCGACUGUAGUUGGAUAGAUGGUGUGACGAACUUAGUAAUAUUCUGUUGCCAAAGGAUGUUAUGUAAAAUCAUCAACUGUUCAUAUAUUUCACGCUCGCACAACCCAUGGGCAUAGCGUAUUUGCUUCGCUGGGUACAAUGGGAUACUUGUUCUCAGUUUUACAUUGUAUCAAGUGUAUCAGCACUAUUAUUCCUGAGUGUUAUUUUUAGUCGUCAAUGUGUUAUUUGCUUCUACAUAGACAGGGUUGAAAUUGCUACCCAUCUCAUCAUUGUAAUAAAAUAAUCUGUAAUGUUGAUGCAUCAUUUUUGGAAAUCAUUUGGUUCUUGCUA
This is an RNA transcript of Nicotiana tabacum (common tobacco), 1471 nucleotides long. RefSeq lists it as uncharacterized. The record is from RefSeq and is a predicted model, not a curated record. NCBI's taxonomy places the organism in Eukaryota, Viridiplantae, Streptophyta, Magnoliopsida, Solanales, Solanaceae.